Molecule: ribosomal RNA, 490 nt
Filed under: uncultured bacterium
Lineage: Bacteria
Description: partial 16S ribosomal RNA
Rfam family: Bacterial small subunit ribosomal RNA
Source: RNAcentral
AGUGAACGCUGGCGGUAGACCUAACACAUGCAAGUCGAACGGCAGCACAGUAAGAGCUUGCUCUUACGGGUGGCGAGUGGCGGACGGGUGAGGAAUACAUCGGAAUCUACUUUUUCGUGGGGGAUAACGUAGGGAAACUUACGCUAAUACCGCAUACGACCUACGGGUGAAAGCAGGGGAUCUUCGGACCUUGCGCGAUUGAAUGAGCCGAUGUCGGAUUAGCUAGUUGGCGGGGUAAAGGCCCACCAAGGCGACGAUCCGUAGCUGGUCUGAGAGGAUGAGCAGCCACACUGGAACUGAGACACGGUCCAGACUCCUACGGGAGGCAGCAGUGGGGAAUAUUGGACAAUGGGCGCAAGCCUGAUCCAGCCAUACCGCGUGGGUGAAGAAGGCCUUCGGGUUGUAAAGCCCUUUUGUUGGGAAAGAAAAGCAGCAGGUUAAUACCCCGCUGUUCUGACGGUACCCAAAGAAUAAGCACCGGCUAACUUCG